GUGAAUCUUCGAAUCUUUGAACGCAAAUUGCGCUUCCUGGCAUCCCGGGAAGUAUGCCUGUUUGAGAGUCAGUAUUAAUAAACAAUCGUUUUAGUUACAAAUUGUUACGUUUCCGGAGGUUGGGCUAGCUUAACAUUUUUGGCUAAGAGGCUUAGAAUUAACCUGUUUUGCGCGUUUUUAAACUUACAUAAAUUUUUUUUAUUCGUCUAUUCUUAAUGCCAAAAUCGUAUUAGAUGCGAUCACGUC
Molecule: unclassified non-coding RNA, 246 nt
Filed under: Glomeraceae sp.
Lineage: Eukaryota; Fungi; Glomeromycota; Glomeromycetes; Glomerales; Glomeraceae
Description: partial contains 5.8S ribosomal RNA and internal transcribed spacer 2
Rfam family: 5.8S ribosomal RNA (bases 1-71)
Source: RNAcentral